RNAcentral lists this transfer RNA (72 nucleotides) under Synechococcus sp. WH 8103. RNAcentral's name for it is "tRNA-Gly". It matches the Rfam family "tRNA". From Rfam's summary of the family: Transfer RNA (tRNA) molecules are approximately 80 nucleotides in length. Their secondary structure includes four short double-helical elements and three loops (D, anti-codon, and T loops). The record is from RNAcentral. Lineage: Bacteria; Bacillati; Cyanobacteriota; Cyanophyceae; Synechococcales; Synechococcaceae. RNAcentral also lists the same sequence under 4 other names.
GCGGGUGUAAUUCAGUGGUAGAAUGUCAGCUUCCCAAGCUGAACGUCGCCGGUUCGAAUCCGGUCGCCCGCU